AUAAAGGUUUUGACUGAGAUUCAGUAGAAUCAUCUUUCCCUGUCCAAGAGAGCUGACGGUUGGUGCGAGUCAGUACAAAGAGAUAUUCGAAUUACCCUCACGAACCGCUUUUACGAAAAGGAGCAUGCAUGCUGUUCUGAUUAGUGAAAGAACGGAUCUGUCCGUUAUCAGUGUAAGUGAAAAGACGUGAUGUAUUGUCUUUUAAGCAGGGUGGUACCGCGAUAUAUAUCGUCCCUUCG
RNAcentral lists this non-coding RNA (239 nucleotides) under Bacillus pumilus. RNAcentral describes it as "T-box sequence". It matches the Rfam family "T-box leader". From Rfam's summary of the family: Uncharged tRNA acts as the effector for transcription antitermination of genes in the T-box leader family. T-boxes are found upstream of many aminoacyl-tRNA synthetase genes and some amino acid biosynthetic genes usually in Gram-positive bacteria. The record is from RNAcentral. Lineage: Bacteria; Bacillati; Bacillota; Bacilli; Caryophanales; Bacillaceae.